Molecule: small nucleolar RNA, 107 nt
Organism: Hibiscus syriacus
Lineage: Eukaryota; Viridiplantae; Streptophyta; Magnoliopsida; Malvales; Malvaceae
Source: RefSeq, a predicted model, not a curated record
AAACCAUGCAUCAAACAUUUGCGCAACAAAUCCUUGAAACGCUCUUAAGCUUCAUAUGGGUUCUCAUCCUCUAUUUGCUUGAAUUAUGUGAGAUCAUUCUUUAAUUU